Molecule: ribosomal RNA, 1263 nt
Filed under: Triticum aestivum (bread wheat)
Lineage: Eukaryota; Viridiplantae; Streptophyta; Magnoliopsida; Poales; Poaceae
Description: partial small subunit ribosomal RNA
Source: RNAcentral
AUGGGGUGUGGCGCCUCGGUCCCCAACGGGAAGGGCCGGAAGCGCCGGAGCGUCGUACAGGAGGUCGCCGUGUUCAUCCCGACCAUCCGUGUCCCGGUGGCCACCGACGUGGUCCAACCGCUCAGGGGACUGGUUUCCAAGGAGCUCGUCGAUCGCCUCGCGACGCUCCGUUCCAACGUCGUCGCGCUGGCUGAAGAUAUCUAUCAUGGGGAUAUGUCGGCUGUCUCUGAACUGCAACGCGCCCUUGAGGAGUACCUGCCUGUUGUUCUUGGAUUAACAGCCAAAGAGAGCCGUCUUGAAGCAUCUGUGCAAUUCAGCUGGAGGACCAUAGACGAUGACCAGGAGUGCUGUCUCGCGAGCGCAUGGUACGAAGUACUUUCUGUUGUCCACAUGAUGGCGAUGCUUGCGCUGUUUGAGACAAACCUCAAACUCAUCCCGAGAGACGGCCAAAAUGGAGCUGAAAAGAAGGUAUCUGAAGAUUCAAAGAAGGAUGUUGUGGACUCAUUGCUCAGGGCAUCAGGGUGCUUAGACUACUCCGUGCAUCACAUACUUGUUCAAAUACCUGCACAAAUUAAGAAGAGUUUUCCUAGUUACCUGCAGGAAGGUAUGCUUGAGGCCAUCUCAAUUCAGUCUUUGGCUCAGUGUGUAGAGAUACAGCUAGGAUUGGCUUCUGAGUGUGAAAAGGCGACGUUGUCGGUGAAGAGGCGGCUAGCCUGCGAGCAAGUCAGCUAUUUUUCAAAGGCUCACUACUGUCUGUCAGGAUGCGACACGAGCGACUCGUAUGGGAAGAAGCUUCUGCUCUUCCUCAAGUGGAAAUGGAUGGACGCCAAGGCAGUAGCAUAUUACUACCAUGCUCUAGUGCUCGACAAGGGGAGCGAGCCGACCAACCAUAUAAGCGCGGUCUGCUGCCUCUCUGCAGCUGAUGACAUCCUUGCAGAGAGCAAGAGGGCUUGUCUGAGCUUUUGCCUGGCAAAUCCCAUCACAAGGGUGCCUCCUCCUUGGGGCAUCAUGAAGAACAUGCACAAGAAAAUUCCAGAUGUCGCGUACAAGAAAUUCCAAAUAUAUGGGCAUCUUUUCGAGCAAGACAAGAAAAGUGCCCUUCAAUCCUUGCCCGAUCUUCCGGAGUUUCCGCUGUCGCUGAGACCCGAAGACUACGAAUUUCCGGGCACCGAUUCGAUCUGGGAGAAUGUUGAUUGCCAACCCCAGAUUCAGAGCCUCAAGGAGCAUCUGGAGGACGACCCAGAAACAGAGGAUUCAAAAUAG